AGCGUUGUUCGGAAUUACUGGGCGUAAAGGGCGCGUAGGCGGUGUGUCAAGUCAGGCGUGAAAGCCCCGGGCUCAACCUGGGAACCGCGCUUGAGACUGGCACGCUAGAGUUCGGGAGAGGAUGGUGGAAUUCCCAGUGUAGAGGUGAAAUUCGUAGAUAUUGGGAAGAACACCGAUGGCGAAGGCAGCCAUCUGGACCGACACUGACGCUGAGGCGCGAAAGCGUGGGGAGCAAACAGG
Molecule: ribosomal RNA, 240 nt
Filed under: uncultured bacterium
Lineage: Bacteria
Description: partial 16S ribosomal RNA
Rfam family: Bacterial small subunit ribosomal RNA
Source: RNAcentral